This is a long non-coding RNA of Liolophura sinensis, 417 nucleotides long. RefSeq lists it as uncharacterized. Lineage: Eukaryota; Metazoa; Mollusca; Polyplacophora; Chitonida; Chitonidae. The transcript has 3 exons. The record is from RefSeq and is a predicted model, not a curated record.
CUUAAUCGGUCGUUGGUUACAAGCCAUGAUUCGACCAGCACUUGACCUAUCCCGUUAUGUUCAGUGAAAUGUCAGGACAGUCGACGUGAAGGUCAGACUGGACCCUACUCGAGGCUGUACCCCAGAUCUCUCAUUACAAUCAGGCACCCAGGUUUUACAUGGUGUCACUUGGCAUGGCCUGACAUGGGCAGGCUUGUGUUGAGGGUCACAGCCAUGGUGGGACGGGCAGUGUACAUGCCUCUUCUCCAGUCCAAUACCACAAGUCUCGGAGCACUGGGAACAAGGAACAAGUACAGCUGGCACUGUUGGAAAAACGUAUUUAUCAGCUCUUGAAAAUUCCGAGUGUCUUUUGGAUGUUGGAGGACUGGUCAUUUUUGCUGUGCUUGGUUGUGAUGGAGGUGUUGUUGUGGUAGUACU